GACGAACGCUGGCGGCGUGCUUAACACAUGCAAGUCGAACGGUGACGAGGAGCUUGCUCCUCCGAUCAGUGGCGAACGGGUGAGUAACACGUGAGUAACCUGCCCCAGACUCUGGGAUAACAGUUGGAAACAGCUGCUAAUACCGGAUACGAGACGGAGAGGCAUCUCUACCGUCUGGAAAGUUUUUCGGUCUGGGAUGGACUCGCGGCCUAUCAGCUUGUUGGUGAGGUAAUGGCUCACCAAGGCGACGACGGGUAGCCGGCCUGAGAGGGCGACCGGCCACACUGGGACUGAGACACGGCCCAGACUCCUACGGGAGGCAGCAGUGGGGAAUAUUGCACAAUGGGCGAAAGCCUGAUGCAGCGACGCCGCGUGAGGGAUGACGGGCCUUCGGUUGGUAACCUACGUUUCUAGCAGGAAGGAAGACGAAAGUGACGGUAACCGUGCAGAAGAAGCACCGGCUAACACGUGCCAGCAGCGCGGUAAUGCUACGUAGA
Molecule: ribosomal RNA, 497 nt
Filed under: uncultured bacterium
Lineage: Bacteria
Description: bacterial SSU rRNA
Rfam family: Bacterial small subunit ribosomal RNA
Source: RNAcentral